UAGGGAAUCUUCCGCAAUGGACGAAAGUCUGACGGAGCAACGCCGCGUGAGUGAUGAAGGCUUUCGGGUCGUAAAACUCUGUUGUUAGGGAAGAACAAGUGCUAGUUGAAUAAGCUGGCACCUUGACGGUACCUAACCAGAAAGCCACGGCUAACUACGUGCCAGCAGCCGCGGUAAUACGUAGGUGGCAAGCGUUAUCCGGAAUUAUUGGGCGUAAAGCGCGCGCAAGGUGGUUUCUUAAGUCUGAUGUGAAAGCCCACGGCUCAACCGUGGAGGGUCAUUGGAAACUGGGAGACUUGAGUGCAGAAGAGGAAAGUGGAAUUCCGAUGUGUAGCGGUGAAAUGCGUAGAGAUAUGGAGGAACACCAGUGGCGAAGGCGACUUUCUGGUCUGUAACUGACACUGAGGCGCGAAAGCGUGGGGAGCAAACAGGAUUAGAUACCCUGGUAGUCCACGCCGUAAACGAUGAGUGCUAAGUGUUAGAGGGUUUCCGCCC
Molecule: ribosomal RNA, 495 nt
Filed under: uncultured Bacillota bacterium
Lineage: Bacteria; Bacillati; Bacillota
Description: bacterial SSU rRNA
Rfam family: Bacterial small subunit ribosomal RNA
Source: RNAcentral